This is a non-coding RNA of Xylaria cubensis, 103 nucleotides long. Lineage: Eukaryota; Fungi; Ascomycota; Sordariomycetes; Xylariales; Xylariaceae. The record is from the annotation of a GenBank genome assembly.
GUCUUCGUGGCUCAGUUGGCUAGAGCGUUGGUCUCAUAUUCGUAUGAUUCAGUCAAUAGACUGGGCUAUCCAAAGGUCGUGAGUUCGAGCCUCACCGAGGACA